This 253-nucleotide ribosomal RNA is filed under the name uncultured prokaryote. RNAcentral's name for it is "partial 16S ribosomal RNA". It matches the Rfam family "Bacterial small subunit ribosomal RNA", at positions 524 to 776 of the family's 1533-position model. The record is from RNAcentral.
UACGGAGGGGGCGAGCGUUGUCCGAAGUUACUGGGCGUAAAGCGCGUGUAGGCGGGUUGCCAAGUCCGCUGUGAAAGCCCGAGGCUCAACCUCGGAGGGUCGGUGGAUACUGGCAGUCUUGAAGUUGCUAGGGGGAGAUGGAAUUACCGGUGUAGCGGUGAAAUGCGUAGAGAUCGGUAGGAACACCAGUGGCGAAAGCGGCGCACUGGAUCCUUUCUGACGCUGAGGCGCGAAAGCCAGGGGAGCAAACGGG